ACGUAGGAGGCAAGCGUUAUCCGGAGUUACUGGGCGUAAAGGGCGUGCAGGCGGUUGGCUAAGUUCGUUGUGAAAGCGCCCAGGCUUAACCGGGCGAGGACAAUGAAGACUGGUCAGCUAGAGGACGGUAGAGGGGUGUGGAAUUCCGGGUGUAGUGGUGAAAUACGUAGAUAUCAAGAGGAAUACCGGUGGCGAAGGCGGGUAACUGGCCUAACACUGACACUCAGACCCGAAAGCGUGGGGAUCAAACAG
RNAcentral lists this ribosomal RNA (252 nucleotides) under uncultured prokaryote. Its description in RNAcentral is "partial 16S ribosomal RNA". It matches the Rfam family "Bacterial small subunit ribosomal RNA", at positions 525 to 775 of the family's 1533-position model. The record is from RNAcentral.